Non-coding RNA from Caldivirga sp. JCHS_4, 89 nucleotides. The record is from Rfam. NCBI's taxonomy places the organism in Archaea, Thermoproteati, Thermoproteota, Thermoprotei, Thermoproteales, Thermoproteaceae.
GGGCCCGUAGCUCAGCCUGGAUGAGAGCGGCGGGCUUUUAAGCUACCGAAGAAACCCGUAGGUCGUGGGUUCGAAUCCCACCGGGCCCG